Molecule: transfer RNA, 73 nt
Filed under: Cronartium ribicola 11-2
Lineage: Eukaryota; Fungi; Basidiomycota; Pucciniomycetes; Pucciniales; Coleosporiaceae
Description: tRNA-Val (GAC) (tRNA-Val-GAC-39-1)
Rfam family: tRNA
About the family: Transfer RNA (tRNA) molecules are approximately 80 nucleotides in length.
Source: RNAcentral
GACUGGAUAGCCUAGUGGCAAAGGCAUCACAUUGACAAUGCUGAGGUCCCAGGUUCAAAUCCUGGUCUAGUUA